CCUUUGAGAGUUCAGUUUGUAGAGUGGAGGACUGUCGGUGCUGAAAUGGCAACCCUUAGGUCUCUGGUUCAAAUCUGGCUCGAAGGA
Molecule: non-coding RNA, 87 nt
Organism: Pangasianodon gigas (Mekong giant catfish)
Lineage: Eukaryota; Metazoa; Chordata; Actinopteri; Siluriformes; Pangasiidae
Source: the annotation of a GenBank genome assembly